CCUACGGGAGGCAGCAGUGAGGAAUAUUGGUCAAUGGACGCAAGUCUGAACCAGCCAUGCCGCGUGCAUGAAGACGGCUCUAUGAGUUGUAAACUGCGUUUGUACGAGGGUAAACUCAGAUACGCGUAUCUUUCUGAAAGUAUCGUACGUAUAAGGAUCGGCUAACUCCGUGCCAGCAGACGCGGUAAUAUGGAGGAUUCAAGCGUUACCCGGAUUUAUUGGGUUGAAAGGGUGCGUAGGCGGUCGGAUAAGUUAGAGGUGAAAUGCCGAGGCUUAACUUGGGAAUUGCUUCUGAUACUGUUCGGCUAGAGAGUAGUAGAGGUAGGCGGAAUGUAUGGUGUAGCGGUGAAAUGCGUAGAGAUCAGACAGAACACCGAUGGCGAAGGCAGCUUACCAAGCUACUACUGACGUUGAGGCACGAAAGCGUGGGGAGCAAACAGGAUUAGAUACCCCUGUAGUC
Molecule: ribosomal RNA, 460 nt
Filed under: uncultured bacterium
Lineage: Bacteria
Description: partial 16S ribosomal RNA
Rfam family: Bacterial small subunit ribosomal RNA
Source: RNAcentral